RNAcentral lists this long non-coding RNA (237 nucleotides) under Setaria italica (foxtail millet). Its description in RNAcentral is "long non-coding RNA (SITA_LNC004579)". The record is from RNAcentral. Lineage: Eukaryota; Viridiplantae; Streptophyta; Magnoliopsida; Poales; Poaceae.
AAACUUCCUAGCUAUAUGGGCGAAAUGAAAAUAAACUUAGAAAUAUACUAAUCAACUGCUAGAAAUAAAAAAAUUAACAUGCCACAGGUUAACGACGACUGAUCACCGAUGGGGCGGUGUUUAGUUUCAAGAUGCGAGUCACGCUUUCAACAACCAAAACGUCUGCGUCAGAUCCCACAGCAAGACAAGGAAACCAAUCGGAUGACCGAGAAAUUAAAAAAAAUUGUCCUAUUCACA